CAAGGGCAGCUAGGAGGUCAGACGAAGGAACGAAGGGAGGGAGGAAGGUGAAUCUGUUUACCUCGAGAAAGGACCCCAGGGAGUCCCAAACCCGCUGUUCGGGAUCGGCACGAUCAAUCCUCUCGAUGACCUCAGGCAGGAUGCAGUCAUCAAUCAGCCGCUUUAUCAGGUCCCUGUCAUUAAAGGGAUUCUUCCCCGGCUCUCCUUCAAAACCAAGGGACUCUUCAACG
This 230-nucleotide long non-coding RNA is filed under the name Elaeis guineensis (African oil palm). Its description in RNAcentral is "long non-coding RNA (EGUI_LNC082449)". Lineage: Eukaryota; Viridiplantae; Streptophyta; Magnoliopsida; Arecales; Arecaceae. The record is from RNAcentral.